This 63-nucleotide non-coding RNA is filed under the name Streptomyces albus. The record is from RNAcentral. RNAcentral also lists the same sequence under 1 other name. Lineage: Bacteria; Bacillati; Actinomycetota; Actinomycetes; Kitasatosporales; Streptomycetaceae.
GCAGAGCCCCGAUCGGCUCCUGGACGAGCGCGCCGUACCCAGCACACGACAAGACGGUGCCCG